Dendroctonus ponderosae (mountain pine beetle) is the source of this 3659-nucleotide RNA transcript. It is a transcript of the gene named zinc transporter 1, with no coding region annotated. The record is from RefSeq and is a predicted model, not a curated record. Lineage: Eukaryota; Metazoa; Arthropoda; Insecta; Coleoptera; Curculionidae. The transcript has 10 exons.
CGUGGUCAUUGUCAUUCUUAGAGUAAAUGACUUCUAUUCGCUUAUUAUCUUAAUUUACGUUUUUCGUGCUGUAGUUUGCAUUGUUUACACGCGUGUGAUGCGAGCAGUGAGGAUAAUAUUAAUCAAUUAAAUCACCUAGUAAAGUGAAUCUUUGCAAAGGCCUGUAGGUAGUAGUCUGAAAAUUUCCACUUUUAUUAACCUCGAACUUUCUAAAAAUAAUUGAUAGACUUGCGCCUUUACUGAGGUCAAACAAUUCCAGUUAUUAUAAAGUGAGGAAAAGGAACUAACAUUUUGAAUCGGGGUACAAUGUGCUAGUGGUUUAGAUUAGUUCAAUAAACCGUGGAUUCGACACAAGGACACAAACGAAUUGCAAUAUGGGCAAAUGGACGGGAAAAAAAUGCCGAUUACUGUCCAUGCUGAUUCUGACCACGUUCUUCUUCUUCGUGGAGAUUGUGGUGGGAUAUAUUACGAAUUCAAUGGCUUUGGUAGCUGACAGCUUCCACAUGCUCAGCGAUGUAGCUGCUUUAGUUGUCGCAUUCGUCUCAGUGCGGAUGUCGCCAAAGAAAUGGUCGAAAAACACAUUCGGUUGGGCCAGGGCCGAAGUGUUAGGAGCCUUAGUGAAUGCGGUGUUUCUAGUCGCUUUAUGCUUCUCCAUAACGGUAGAAGCAUGCAAGAGGUUUAUCGAAGUAGAAACCAUACACGAUCCACAACUAUUGGUUGUAGUGGGUGGUAUUGGUUUGCUAGUUAAUCUUGUUGGACUUUUGCUGUUUCAUGAACAUGGCGGAGGUCAUGGUCAUUCUCAUGGAGGUUUAUCGCACUCGCGAAACCGCCUCACUCAGCUAGCACUCACAGAUGACAAUGAGAAUGAUGAAAGUUAUCCGUCACCACCACCCUUACCAUCACCUAAAGUAAAAGGAGGUCAUGGGCACUCUCAUGGUGGCGACAACAUGAACAUGCGAGGAGUUUUUCUACAUGUUUUAAGUGAUGCGUUGGGAUCAGUGAUCGUCAUUGUAUCCGCUUUGAUAUUCUGGCUCACUGACUGGAAGUACAAGUACUACAUCGACCCUGCUCUAUCACUAUUGUUAGUGCUUUUGAUCUUGCAUUCAGUCUGGCCUUUGCUUAGAGAUUCCGCGUUGAUUCUGUUGCAAACAGUGCCCACACACAUUCAAGUCGACGCAAUUCAGCAGAGAUUGCUUGAAAAUGUUGAUGGCGUACUUGCGGUUCAUGAAUUUCACGUCUGGCAAUUGGCUGGUGAUCGAAUUAUUGCAUCUGCACAUAUCAGGUGCCGAAAUUUGUCGGAAUACAUGAAAAUAGCAGAAAAGGUCAAAGAGUUCUUCCACAACGAGGGCAUUCAUUCCACAACAAUUCAGCCAGAAUUUAUCGAUUACACGGAUAUUCCUACCACAUCAACAGUUGGAGACCCUGACUCUGCAACGGAAGACUGCGUGUUAGAUUGUCCCAAGUCAUCGAGAGAAUCAGACAAUUGUGUGAGAAACACAUGCUGUGGGCCUUCAAAGGACAGUAGUUGCAGUUUAAUUGAAACCUCAACAGACAUUAAGAACCUCUUUAGGAAACUAAGGCUUGAUAAGCCUGAGGAAAGGGGCGAGAGACUCCCACUCCCAAUAACACUCCCUACAUGUGCCGACAGCGAAACUCCGCUAUCAGCGUCACUACAGGAGUGAGCGAAAUGGAAAAAGGAAACUUGCUGGAGAAAAACCAGGAGACGCAAAUUUUACAAGGUGACUGUGAUUGUAAUGGUUUAAGAGGUUCGCAGUAUUCACUUAGAGGAUAAUGUUCUCAGAUUGAACUGCGACUGUGGAGUAACCAAAUAGGCCAGGAGAGUUAUAGAUUGGCAUGGAUCUAACGUGACGUAACUUGGAUAACUAUUGGAAUCGCUCGGGAAUGGUAUACCUAUUGAAAAUAUCGAUGUGUGCUUUUUGCUUAACCAACGAAAAAGUGAAAAAAUGCGAACAUCCCGUUUUUUUGCCGCAAACAAUCGCAUAUAACUCGGUAAGUAUGCAUUUUAGAGAAAAAAAUGUAUGCUUGUAAAUUGGUUCGUUAUGAAAUUUUCUACAAGAUCGAGGAGUUGGUCCGAUAUCCGUAGAUUUGAAACGUUUCCUGCAAAAUGCUCGAAAGCGCAAGAAAGUAGGCAAAAAACAAAUGCAUACGUUUCCGGGAAAACCGAUUUUCGCAUUUUUUCCUCAUUUUUGCAAAUAGCUUACCUGAAUAUUUUCAAUUGGUAUACCAUUCCCGAGCGAUUCAAAGUUAUCUAAGUUACGUCACGUUAGAGCCAUAUUUGAGAUUUCGUCGUAAUUCUCCUGGCCUAAAAGCAAGUGAUUUAGAGUUCAGGGAUCCAAAAUAGUCCAGUCAAUAUAGUCUUUAGGUAAUGCUCGUAAAUGUGAUCUCGGCCGUUUAACUCGGAGUACUUAAAUGGAAGGAAUCUUUGAGACAAAUAAUUCGGUAAUUUUGGUCACUUGAGGAACUCCGCGUUUCAGUUCAUUCAAGCGGCGUUCAUGUGUUCAUAUUAAUUUAACGUGAGGUUUAUUAUUCAUCCCAAAGGUUUCUUUUGUAAGUGUGCGUUAUGGAAAUCCAAUUUUCCGGGACAUUCAAGGGUAAAGACGAGACUUAAAGUUGCUUAACGUCGUUCAGUAUCUUGUAAGUUAAAAUUAUCUAGGUAUUUAAUUAAAUUGUACUUUAUAGUUUUAAACGAGAUUGUUGCAUGAACAUUCAUGCUUCAACAUCUGUUACUAUUAAAAAGUAGGCCAGUUUCAUCCAAUGGAAUAAUUGCACACUAACACCCAAUCACAUCACGGUCACAAUAUUUGCAUUUGCAGUAGAAUUAGAGUCGGUACUUUAUUAAGGGUUAUAACUGUUGAUAUUUUGCUAAUAUUCUUUUCAAAACUAAGAGUAUUUCAGUAGGUGCAAUGUUACUGUUUCUGCAGUUAAAUCAGAAUAACUAUUUUGUUUUCAACUAAUUUACUAGCACUGUUACUUUGUAUGUGCAUGUAAAUGCAAUAUUGUCGCAUCAAUCGUGACAGUUUUUCCUACAUCGGAAACUAGUAUUGUACAAUUUUUGUGUUCCAUACAGAGUCGUUUUUAUUCAUGAAAAUCCUGGAUUAUCUUGCAAUACAUUAGUUUAAGGUCUCUUGCUCCAGUCUAUGGCAGUCAAUAUUCGUUUAAUGCAACAUUAUACUUAAUUAUUCUAAAGGUCUGAAAAUUAAUGUUAGAAUAAGUUGCUAAAAGUUAGAUCGAUGAGAGGCCUAAAAUCAGAAUUAUUAUUGAACUUUGUUUUAACAACGGAUUUUCCAGAGAAACGUAGUCUGAUUGUUUGUAUUUGCCAUGUAUAAAACAGAUUCUGCAUAACGCAGAAAUCAAAGUAAAUAUUUUUCUGCAAAAAACCACUUCUGUCACGUCCUGUAUGUGGAAUUUCUGUUAUUUCCAAAGUGUUGCUGUGCAUCAGCACAACGCACAUAAAUCGCACCGUAUCUACGCACCAGUAAUAUCAUUGAUUCGUUUGUGUGAAGAGUGUGGAACUUGCUUGAGAACCAUGUACAUAUUUCAUAUAAGUUAAAUAUUUUGUAUAUGUUUUCAUAUAGCGUCAGUAUAAUUUAUAUGAAUAAUUGGUUUAAAUGUUAAUAAAACUGAGGCUAUUAAAUGAC